GACGCGCGCGGCACAGGCACGCCACACGGACACAGAAAUACAUACACGCAUAGAGCCGCGGCUGCCUCCUGCGUGCAGGAUCGAGCUCCGUCGAUCGAUCGGACUAGCGAGUUGCCAUGGCAGCAGCCAGUGCUCUUCUCAUGGCGGCUCUCGCGGUCUUCGCCACGGCCGCGGCGGCGGCGCUGGACACGUCGCCGGUGCCGUUCGAUGCCGGGUACGCGCCGCUCUUUGGGGGCGACAACCUCGUGCGGUCGGUGGACGGCCGGAGCGUCACGCUCAAGCUGGACCGAUACACCGGGUCUGGGUUCAUAUCCAAGUCGGCCUACCGCCAUGGCUUCUUCGGCGCUUCCAUUAAGCUGCCGGCCGACUACACCGCCGGCGUCGUCGUCGCCUUCUACCUGUCGAACUGGGACGAGUACCCCAAGAACCACGACGAGCUGGACUUCGAACUGCUGGGCAACCGGCGCGGCCACGGCUGGCGUGUCCAGACCAACAUGUACGGCAACGGCAGCACCGCCCGCGGCCGAGAGGAGCGUUACCAUCUCCCCGUCGAACCUACCGUCGCCGGCGUCCACCGCUAUGCCAUAGCCUGGACCCCCAACAACAUCGUCUUCUACCUCGACGGCGUCCCCAUCCGCGAGGUGGUCGGCGUUCCCUCCAUGGGCGGCGACUUCCCCUCCAAGCCCAUGUCCGUCUACGCCACCAUCUGGGACGGCUCCGCCUGGGCCACCGAUGGCGGCAAGUACAAGGUCGACUACGCCUACGCGCCAUUCGCCGCCGAGUUCUCCGACCUCGUCCUGAGCGGCUGCGACGCCAGCAGCGUCGCCGACCCCGAGGGGUGCCAGGUCGACCUGCUCACGCACGACGUCGCCGUCAUGGCCCCUGCCAAGCGCGCCGCCAUGAGGGGGUUCCGCGAGCAGUACCUGACCUACACGGCUUGCCGCGACCGGGUGCGAUACAAGACCACGGUCUUCCCCGAGUGUGACGACCUCGCCGACGGCGACUCCAGCUUCCACCUCUGGGGGGAGUCCAAGAAGAGGCGCCGCCGGUCGUCGUCGCCGCUGCAGUACUCUUCCAGCAUGCAGUAGGUUAUGGGUUCCGAUCGAAUGAGUCCAGUCCAUCGAUGCAUGGCAUCCUCAAGAUAGUUUUCUCGGUCGAGGUUGGUGCAUCUGUCGGAUAUGUACACAGUACACAGGAGGAUUACAGAUAGGGAAAACGUAAAAAACGUAAUUUUAUCAAUAGUACAUACAGUAGUACGUCCACUUGCUUAUAUAGUUUAAAUUUUCCAAA
RNA transcript from Triticum aestivum (bread wheat), 1290 nucleotides. It is a transcript of the gene named probable xyloglucan endotransglucosylase/hydrolase protein 29, with no coding region annotated. The transcript is spliced from 4 exons. NCBI's taxonomy places the organism in Eukaryota, Viridiplantae, Streptophyta, Magnoliopsida, Poales, Poaceae. The record is from RefSeq and is a predicted model, not a curated record.